UCCAUAUUUUAGGUCGGACAUCCAUCUGCUGUGACCCGCGGAGACGCCCACAACACAGAGGCAGUUACUGAGCGCGAUGAGGAGGAACAUGAAUCGUCUGCCGAGAAAGAGGAUUCACAACAUAAGGCUUAGGUCAGUCACCAUUACAAACAGCUUCGUCACUUGACCCAGCUUUGACCUCCCGCGACCCUUACAGGGCAUUACCACGAGGGUGCCCUCAGCGCUUUGCUCACCAACGCUACAUUUGAAAACAAACAAAAAUAAACAAUAGCCGAGCUA
Molecule: long non-coding RNA, 279 nt
Organism: Penaeus monodon (black tiger shrimp)
Lineage: Eukaryota; Metazoa; Arthropoda; Malacostraca; Decapoda; Penaeidae
Exons: 2
Source: RefSeq, a predicted model, not a curated record